This 321-nucleotide ribosomal RNA is filed under the name uncultured bacterium. RNAcentral describes it as "bacterial SSU rRNA". It matches the Rfam family "Bacterial small subunit ribosomal RNA", at positions 30 to 342 of the family's 1533-position model. The record is from RNAcentral.
AUUGAACGCUGGCGGCAUGCCUUACACAUGCAAGUCGAACGGCAGCACGGGAGCAGUCCUGGUGGCGAGUGGCGAACGGGUGAGUAAUACAUCGGAACGUGCCCAGUAGUGGGGGAUAACCCGGCGAAAGCCGGACUAAUACCGCGUACGACCUACGGGUGAAAGCAGGGGAUCUCAUGGCAACAUGCGACCUUGCGCUAUCGGAGCGGCCGAUGUCAGAUAGCUAGUUGGUGGGGUAAAAGCCUACCAAGGCGACGAUCUGUAGCUGGUCUGAGAGGACGACCAGCCACACUGGGACUGAGACACGGCCCAGACUCCUAC